GGGGAAUAUUGCGCAAUGGGGGGAACCCUGACGCAGCAACGCCGCGUGGAGGAAGAAGGUCUUCGGAUUGUAAACUCCUGUCUUCUGGGACGAUAAUGACGGUACCAGAGGAGGAAGCCACGGCUAACUACGUGCCAGCAGCCGCGGUAAUACGUAGGUGGCGAGCGUUGUCCGGAAUUACUGGGCGUAAAGAGCGCGUAGGCGGUUUUUUAAGUCAGAUGUGAAAAUCCAGGGCUUAACUCUGGGCGUGCAUUUGAAACUGGGGAACUAGAGUGCAGGAGAGGUAAGUGGAAUUCCUAGUGUAGCGGUGAAAUGCGUAGAUAUUAGGAGGAACACCAGUGGCGAAGGCGACUUACUGGACUGUAACUGACGCUGAGGCGCGAAAGCGUGGGUAGCGAAC
Molecule: ribosomal RNA, 400 nt
Filed under: uncultured bacterium
Lineage: Bacteria
Description: bacterial SSU rRNA
Rfam family: Bacterial small subunit ribosomal RNA
Source: RNAcentral